GGGAUCGUAAGACCUUGCACUAUUGGAGCGGCCGAUAUCGGAUUAGCUAGUUGGUGGGGUAACGGCUCACCAAGGCGACGAUCCGUAGCUGGUUUGAGAGGACGACCAGCCACACUGGGACUGAGACACGGCCCAGACUCCUACGGGAGGCAGCAGUGGGGAAUUUUGGACAAUGGGGGAAACCCUGAUCCAGCCAUCCCGCGUGUGCGAUGAAGGCCUUCGGGUUGUAAAGCACUUUUGGCAGGAAAGAAACGUCAUGGGUUAAUACCCCGUGAAACUGACGGUACCUGCAGAAUAAGCACCGGCUAACUACGUGCCAGCAGCCGCGGUAAUACGUAGGGUGCAAGCGUUAAUCGGAAUUACUGGGCGUAAAGCGUGCGCAGGCGGUUCGGAAAGAAAGAUGUGAAAUCCCAGAGCUUAACUUUGGAACUGCAUUUUUAACUACCGGGCUAGAGUGUGUCAGAGGGAGGUGGAAUUCCGCGUGUAGCAGUGAAAUGCGUAGAUAUGCGGAGGAACACCGAUGGCGAAGGCAGCCUCCUGGG
RNAcentral lists this ribosomal RNA (542 nucleotides) under Achromobacter xylosoxidans. RNAcentral's name for it is "bacterial SSU rRNA". It matches the Rfam family "Bacterial small subunit ribosomal RNA", at positions 200 to 733 of the family's 1533-position model. The record is from RNAcentral. Lineage: Bacteria; Pseudomonadati; Pseudomonadota; Betaproteobacteria; Burkholderiales; Alcaligenaceae.